RNA transcript from Aplysia californica (California sea hare), 531 nucleotides. It is a transcript of the gene named 28S ribosomal protein S16, mitochondrial, with no coding region annotated. NCBI's taxonomy places the organism in Eukaryota, Metazoa, Mollusca, Gastropoda, Aplysiida, Aplysiidae. The transcript has 3 exons. The record is from RefSeq and is a predicted model, not a curated record.
ACCAGUCCAGUCUAGCAAUUCAGGGCAACAACGACGGCACUGAAAAAUCAAUUGAAGGAUGCCCCGGCUCCCACAACGGAAAUCAUUUGAUAUCAUCCGCUUGGCAUUACAUGGCUGCACAAACAGACCCUUUUAUCACAUCGUUCUUACAAAAAACACAAGACCUCGAGAUGCACCUCCUUUUGAACAGUUGGGAACAUUUGAUUCCAUGCCAAACAUUCACAAUGAAAAACUUGUUUCCCUGGACAUCGAACGAAUAAAAUACCACCUUGCUAACAACGUUGCUCUCAGCAAGCCUGUAGAAAAAUUAUUAGGUCUUGGAGGAUUACUGCCAGUUUUCCCAAUGAGCUACACUAUCGCGAAACGAAACAGAAAAAAGAUGGAAGCAGCGACAAACGAUACAGAGGAGCAUUUACAGGAGGAGGACACAGAGAAAAGUCAAUAACUGUUGAUACAUUAUUGUAAAUAGUAACAUGUCAUUUUUUGUUGGAUUGCAUGUCCCUCAAAUAAAUACCAUUACAAAUUACAAAU